GGGUUGUGAGGUUAAGCGACUAAGCGUACACGGUGGAUGCCCUGGCAGUCAGAGGCGAUGAAGGACGUGCUAAUCUGCGAUAAGCGUCGGUAAGGUGAUAUGAACCGUUAUAACCGGCGAUUUCCGAAUGGGGAAACCCAGUGUGUUUCGACACACUAUCAUUAACUGAAUCCAUAGGUUAAUGAGGCGAACCGGGGGAACUGAAACAUCUAAGUACCCCGAGGAAAAGAAAUCAACCGAGAUUCCCCCAGUAGCGGCGAGCGAACGGGGAGCAGCCCAGAGCCUGAAUCAGUAUGUGUGUUAGUGGAAGCGUCUGGAAAGGCGCGCGAUACAGGGUGACAGCCCCGUACACAAAAAUGCACAUAUUGUGAGCUCGAUGAGUAGGGCGGGACACGUGGUAUCCUGUCUGAAUAUGGGGGGACCAUCCUCCAAGGCUAAAUACUCCUGACUGACCGAUAGUGAACCAGUACCGUGAGGGAAAGGCGAAAAGAACCCCGGCGAGGGGAGUGAAAAAGAACCUGAAACCGUGUACGUACAAGCAGUGGGAGCACGCUUAGGCGUGUGACUGCGUACCUUUUGUAUAAUGGGUCAGCGACUUAUAUUCUGUAGCAAGGUUAACCGAAUAGGGGAGCCGAAGGGAAACCGAGUCUUAACUGGGCGUUAAGUUGCAGGGUAUAGACCCGAAACCCGGUGAUCUAGCCAUGGGCAGGUUGAAGGUUGGGUAACACUAACUGGAGGACCGAACCGACUAAUGUUGAAAAAUUAGCGGAUGACUUGUGGCUGGGGGUGAAAGGCCAAUCAAACCGGGAGAUAGCUGGUUCUCCCCGAAAGCUAUUUAGGUAGCGCCUCGUGAACUCAUCUCCGGGGGUAGAGCACUGUUUCGGCAAGGGGGUCAUCCCGACUUACCAACCCGAUGCAAACUGCGAAUACCGGAGAAUGUUAUCACGGGAGACACACGGCGGGUGCUAACGUCCGUCGUGAAGAGGGAAACAACCCAGACCGCCAGCUAAGGUCCCAAAGUCAUGGUUAAGUGGGAAACGAUGUGGGAAGGCCCAGACAGCCAGGAUGUUGGCUUAGAAGCAGCCAUCAUUUAAAGAAAGCGUAAUAGCUCACUGGUCGAGUCGGCCUGCGCGGAAGAUGUAACGGGGCUAAACCAUGCACCGAAGCUGCGGCAGCGACGCUGAUGCGUUGUUGGGUAGGGGAGCGUUCUGUAAGCCUGUGAAGGUGUGCUGUGAGGCAUGCUGGAGGUAUCAGAAGUGCGAAUGCUGACAUAAGUAACGAUAAAGCGGGUGAAAAGCCCGCUCGCCGGAAGACCAAGGGUUCCUGUCCAACGUUAAUCGGGGCAGGGUGAGUCGACCCCUAAGGCGAGGCCGAAAGGCGUAGUCGAUGGGAAACAGGUUAAUAUUCCUGUACUUGGUGUUACUGCGAAGGGGGGACGGAGAAGGCUAUGUUGGCCGGGCGACGGUUGUCCCGGUUUAAGCGUGUAGGCUGGUUUUCCAGGCAAAUCCGGAAAAUCAAGGCUGAGGCGUGAUGACGAGGCACUACGGUGCUGAAGCAACAAAUGCCCUGCUUCCAGGAAAAGCCUCUAAGCAUCAGGUAACAUCAAAUCGUACCCCAAACCGACACAGGUGGUCAGGUAGAGAAUACCAAGGCGCUUGAGAGAACUCGGGUGAAGGAACUAGGCAAAAUGGUGCCGUAACUUCGGGAGAAGGCACGCUGAUAUGUAGGUGAAGUCCCUUGCGGAUGGAGCUGAAAUCAGUCGAAGAUACCAGCUGGCUGCAACUGUUUAUUAAAAACACAGCACUGUGCAAACACGAAAGUGGACGUAUACGGUGUGACGCCUGCCCGGUGCCGGAAGGUUAAUUGAUGGGGUCAGCGCAAGCGAAGCUCUUGAUCGAAGCCCCGGUAAACGGCGGCCGUAACUAUAACGGUCCUAAGGUAGCGAAAUUCCUUGUCGGGUAAGUUCCGACCUGCACGAAUGGCGUAAUGAUGGCCAGGCUGUCUCCACCCGAGACUCAGUGAAAUUGAACUCGCUGUGAAGAUGCAGUGUACCCGCGGCAAGACGGAAAGACCCCGUGAACCUUUACUAUAGCUUGACACUGAACAUUGAGCCUUGAUGUGUAGGAUAGGUGGGAGGCUUUGAAGUGUGGACGCCAGUCUGCAUGGAGCCGACCUUGAAAUACCACCCUUUAAUGUUUGAUGUUCUAACGUUGACCCGUGAUCCGGGUUGCGGACAGUGUCUGGUGGGUAGUUUGACUGGGGCGGUCUCCUCCUAAAGAGUAACGGAGGAGCACGAAGGUUGGCUAAUCCUGGUCGGACAUCAGGAGGUUAGUGCAAUGGCAUAAGCCAGCUUGACUGCGAGCGUGACGGCGCGAGCAGGUGCGAAAGCAGGUCAUAGUGAUCCGGUGGUUCUGAAUGGAAGGGCCAUCGCUCAACGGAUAAAAGGUACUCCGGGGAUAACAGGCUGAUACCGCCCAAGAGUUCAUAUCGACGGCGGUGUUUGGCACCUCGAUGUCGGCUCAUCACAUCCUGGGGCUGAAGUAGGUCCCAAGGGUAUGGCUGUUCGCCAUUUAAAGUGGUACGCGAGCUGGGUUUAGAACGUCGUGAGACAGUUCGGUCCCUAUCUGCCGUGGGCGCUGGAGAACUGAGGGGGGCUGCUCCUAGUACGAGAGGACCGGAGUGGACGCAUCACUGGUGUUCGGGUUGUCAUGCCAAUGGCACUGCCCGGUAGCUAAAUGCGGAAGAGAUAAGUGCUGAAAGCAUCUAAGCACGAAACUUGCCCCGAGAUGAGUUCUCCCUGACUCCUUGAGAGUCCUGAAGGAACGUUGAAGACGACGACGUUGAUAGGCCGGGUGUGUAAGCGCAGCGAUGCGUUGAGCUAACCGGUACUAAUGAACCGUGAGGCUUAACCUUACAACGCCGAAGGUGUUU
This 2931-nucleotide ribosomal RNA is filed under the name Escherichia coli. RNAcentral describes it as "23S ribosomal RNA". It matches the Rfam family "Bacterial large subunit ribosomal RNA". Lineage: Bacteria; Pseudomonadati; Pseudomonadota; Gammaproteobacteria; Enterobacterales; Enterobacteriaceae. The record is from RNAcentral.